CAAUAGCGUAUAUUAAAGUUGUUGCGGUUAAAAAGCUCGUAGUUGGAUUUCUGCCGAGGACGACCGGUCCGCCCUCUGGGUGUGUAUCUGGUUUGGCCUGGGCAUCUUCUUGGAGGACGUAGCUGCACUUGACUGUGUGGUGCGGUGUCCAGGACUUUUACUUUGAGGAAAUUAGAGUGUUUCAAGCAGGCACACGCCUUGAAUACAUUAGCAUGGAAUAAUAAGAUAGGACCUCGGUUCUAUUUUGUUGGUUUCUAGAGCUGAGGUAAUGAUUAAUAGGGAUAGUUGGGGGCAUUCGUAUUUAACUGUCAGAGGUGAAAUUCUCGGAUUUGUUAAAGACGGACUACUGCGAAAGCAUUUGCCAAGGAUGUUUUCAUUGA
RNAcentral lists this ribosomal RNA (380 nucleotides) under uncultured eukaryote. RNAcentral's name for it is "partial 18S ribosomal RNA". It matches the Rfam family "Eukaryotic small subunit ribosomal RNA", at positions 592 to 976 of the family's 1831-position model. The record is from RNAcentral.